This 5863-nucleotide long non-coding RNA is filed under the name Lactuca sativa (garden lettuce). Its description in RNAcentral is "long non-coding RNA (LSAT_LNC008169)". The record is from RNAcentral. Lineage: Eukaryota; Viridiplantae; Streptophyta; Magnoliopsida; Asterales; Asteraceae.
ACACCUCACUACUUACUAGCGGGUCGAACAAAGUUCGAAAGCCCAAAAGAAAAAAAGACACCGUAAAUGGUCAAUGUGUUUUCCAGAAAUUUAACAUAUAAUCCUUAAAUUAAAAAAACCUUCCAAAUGAUCUAUGUAGUUUCAAAACUUUUAUCAAACAUUUGUUUUUGUUAGUUUUUAGUUGUUAAGUAUCUAAAAAAUGUUUUGAAUUUAAAUAUUUUGAAAAACAUAUUAGACAUUUUUUAUUUUCAAAAAAAAAAAAAAAAUGCGAAGUCCGUAUAAAAUUGUCAAACCUACAUGAAAAAUUUCAGAUGAGGCGUACUGUUGUGUUUUGCUCUUGAGAAUGAGGCUCCGGCGAGAUUAGGGUUUUCCGAGAAAAACUUCUAUUUUGCCACUUAAUCAUCCGAUCAAGUAUGAGCCGAUGAUUUCGACGCCGAUUCUACUACUCUCUCUUUCUCUAUCUCUAUCUCUCAAAACAUAUAUACAUACACACACAUAAACAUAUACAUCACAGCUCUUCUCAAAUAUCUACAAAUGAUAAAGGGGGUGUUUGGAAUAGCUUAUUUAUUUCUUUAAGCUCUUUUUGAGUUAUUGCUGUUGCUGUUGUUGCUAAUUUAUUGUUCCGAUGAGGCGGUGACGAUGAGAUGUAGAAUGAGCAAUAUCGGAAUUUGGUGACCUGAUCUGUAUCUUGGCUGGGCAAUCCGGAUGGCAUAUGUUCAUUUGGAGAUUUCUCUUCGGAAAUCGAUAUGCAUUGCAACUGCGAUUGCAGCCAUGACGGAUUUGGGCAAAACAAAUUCGAUUACAACAGAUCUGAGCCUCCUUUCUACCCUCGCAUCCUGUUUUCCUGUCCAGGUACUUGUAAGCUUUUUUUUUAAUCCAUAUACUAAAGUAGAUAAAUUAUUCUCUUAAAAACAUAGUGAUUGAACGAAAUAUCAUGUUGCAGCCUACAUUGUUGAGAUUGAGAUAUAAUGUUAUAAAUAAAUUGUUGUUACAAUCUAGAAUUUUCAGCAAUUAUCAAACAUAUGUUUUCCCUACGCAUAUUUUCAAAUAGAAAAAAACUAGAUCGAAAUUUUGGUUUAUUUUUUUUAUUUUUAUUUAGUUUUGUUUCCUAGUUUAAUUACUAGAAUAUGUUUUCUUUUGAUUAUUAGAAUGUUAAGGAACUAGAAUAUUUUUUCUUUUGAUUAUUAGAAUGUUAAGGCAACAAGUUAUUGAGAACUUUAAAAUUAUUUUUUCUUCUAAGAAAUUUUUUCCUUCUGGAAUACAAUUUUAAACAUUUUAUUUUACACAAAAAAACUUAUUGGCAAAAGCUAUUCUGUUAUAUUACAUCUUUUAAAAGCCUAGAUCUUCCUUUGUGAAUAAGAACUCCAGCGAUCUCCUAUGAAGAAGCUAAUAGGCUAUCAGGUAGCCUGUAUGCUAGUUUGCCAUACAUUGACUCUAACAAAUGAAGGUUUUUUUUGUCACAUGUCACAAUCAUUCAAUUUGCCAAAUGUCAUUUUGCGGUUAUUUUGAAUUAACCCAUAUAAUAAAUGGGUCUCACAACUAGUAUCCUAUAUAUCACAACUAGUAUCCUAUAUAUCAAAGAGUAAAUUACAGAAAUGGUCCCUAUGGUUUAACCAAAGUUACAACUCUGGUUCACAACUUUGCUUCGUUUUGUUACAUGCGCAUCCCUGUGGUUAAAAAAAAGCUACGACGAUAAAAAAAAUUAUCUGAGCAAAUGAAAAUAUAUUGGCUGGGCAAUCCGGAGGGCAUAUUUUCUUUAAAUGUUAUAUGCAACUGUGAUUGCAGCCAUGGUGGGUUACUGGGUUUAGAUUACUCAAUUUCCCUUGAUCACAACAGAUCUGAGCUUUCAUCUACAAAAUCUAAUGUUGAUCAUUAGUAAAAGGCAACUGCAAGUGAUAGCGAUGUACUUCAUUGAUUUGUUUAUCAUCACAUGCUACUUUUAAUUAUUUCUAACACAACACCGUGUUUUGGAAAAUCUAUCCAAUUAAAGCAAUGGUGGUGGUGGACUGGUGGUGGUGGUGGUGGUGAUGGUGAUGAUGAUGAUGAUGAUGAUGAUGAUGAUGGUUAAGUUUAUGGAAAAUCUAUCCAAUUAAAGCAAUAUUAGUAAUAUUUUUAUGGAAAAGGCGAUGAUGAUGAUGAUGAUGAUGAUGAUGAUGAUGAUGGAUUGUAUUAUUCUAAGCAAAUAUGAAGAGACAUUGAAGAUUGGUUCUCUGUAUCUUGGCAGGGCAACUUCCUGAUGGCAAAGUGAGAAGUGACUUUGCAACUGUGUGUGUGUUUGCAGCCAUGACAGAGUCCCUAUCUUCUUUCUCACCAUUCCCUAAUUACAGAUCUGAGCCUAAGCAUAUUCCUGUUACACUUUAUUUUUUUAUUUUUUUCUUAAAGUGAUAUGGUUUUCUGAAUGAAAUAUAUGAAUUUUGUUUUCUGUAGUUGAUUAUUAUUAGAAUGGUGAACAACUGGGGAAGAGUUGUAAUAAGAAUAGAGUCUGUUUCUGUUCUUUAUAUGUUCACGUUUUUUGGGUUUCAUUCUUCUUUGUGUGACCAAACAAAAAGAUAAAAAGUUUCAGUUGAAUGUAAUUUUGGUGUUUUUUUUGGUGUUUAACUUGUCUCCCUUCCACAAUUGUUUGGUGCGUUUCAGUUGUUUAUUUUAAAAGGGUUGUGAUUCUUCUGUGUGUGUUUUUGCUGUGCUUUUAUUAUUCAUUGAUUUCGUGACAUUUGGUAAUCAGGGAAUUACAGAAGGGUGUGUUGGUUUUGCUUUGGAAUUAAAUACAAGUGUGUUGCAUUUUUUAAUCUGAUUUUUUGGAGAGUACAUUGCUGUUUUUGUCUAUAUAAGCUUAAGAUUGAAAUGCAAAACUUGAUUGGCAUCUACAAAUCUGAUUUUUGGUAUGGGAAAGGCUUCUUUUGGCUUAUUUGGGAAAAAAAGCUAUGGAGAGUACAUUGCUGUAGUUGGUGAUGACCACUUAGGUUUUUACAUUUGCAAACCAAAAUCAACAAAAAUAUAUACCUCCACAAGAGAAUUAAAUCGAUAUCUAAGGCAGGCUUAUGUUAAUGUUUUUUCUUUGAUUGAAUGCAAAAUACCAUACAUGAUUAAAAAUUAAAAUUGGAGGUUUAUUCUCAUUUGGUUCUUGUAUCGGUUCACCAUUAUUAGAUGAAAAACUUAUUUCAUAUUGGUUUCAAAAAAGAAAACCAAACGUUAUAAUUGCAUUAAAAAAUCUGUCACAAACUUGCAAUUAGUCAAUCAACGUAGUUAUGUCGAUAAGCCUGAUUAACCAAUUGAUUAUCAAACAUUGAAAAUGCAAUAUCGUUUUUCAUUAGAUAUGGAACAGUGGUUUGUCUGAUUGUCUAUAUCAUCUAAGAAUGUUUAAAUCAUUAGCACGUAUACCCAGAUAGAAAAGUAAAAAAACAAAUUGAAAAAAAAUAUAUAUUAAGAUACCAAGUCAAUGUGUGUUACCAUUCCAUCUUAAUACAAAAUGGAUUGUCAUGGUUCGAAAUGGACCCUUCACAUGUACAUUUAUAUAUUAGUUUUUUUUACAUAACUUCUUAAUGUUUUUUUAUUUUAAUCAAAGAUUUUGCUUUAUAAUAAUAGAAAGGUCUAUUUUGGUGUUAAAAUAGUAUAUGAAGAUUCGUACUACAACUUAAUUUCAUACAAAAUGUUUUUUUUAACAAAAAGUCAUGAUUUGCCUAAAAAUAUAAUCAAUUUCGCAUGGAACAAUAUAUUAUAACCUAAGUUUUUUUUUCUUCGAAAUAACAUCAUUAUGGACAUUUUAUUAGAGUAAACAUUAAUCGAAGACUUCAUUUAGCAAAAUAAUAUUUCAUUUUGUUGUAAAAUUGUCUUUGAAGUUUUGUAACACAAAAAAAAGGGUCAGAAAUAGCUUUUUCUUUUUUGAUAAUGAAUAAUGAUUUUCAUAAAAAUGUGAACAUUUUCAUAAUAUAUUUUCCCAGUAAAUAAAUUACGCCAUGUCAAGCUUACGAAUUUUCACCCACAAACUUUGCUUUAAUAAAGUAAACCUCUAUUGUGUUAUGGAAAUAUUUUUUAAACUUCGUCACAACAAAGUCCCAAAAAAUACCCUAUUAAACAUAAAGGGUUUUAUAAAAAAAGUUUCAUUAUUUUAGAAUUUUUUUAUGAAGUUUUAAAUGUUUUUUUUAAUAGAAAUUUUUUAUAAUUUUGAGGAAAUCAUAUAAUCUGUUACUUCCUGUUAAAAUAAAAAAAUAAUUUUUUGUUAAUUUGGGAAUAUGUUAAAUAAUUUUAGGACUUUAUAAUUUUUUUUUAAAAAUAAUAAGAUUUUUCUUUAUAAAACCCUAACAGAAUAAUCAUUGCUUUUCGUAAAAAUAUAGUAAGUGCAUUUUCGUAAAUAUAUGAUAAGAAUCAGGAUUUUCCUACAGAUUAUCAUACUUGUCAUACUUAAUAAAAUUAUUAAAAUUUUAUUAUAUUUAUCAUCAUUUAAAAAUACAGGAUGAUAGAUAUAAAAGAUAUAUAAUUUUUAUUUAAUUUCAUCUUUAAAAAAACAUUUUUUUUAAAAACAUGGCUUGAUUCCAUUUCAGCCCAACAACUAUUUGAAGGCUAAAUAUACGAAAAUUAUGCUUAUUUAGUUAUUUGGAGACAAAAACUUUUGGAAAACGAUUAAUAUAUUUUUUAAUAUCUGCCCUUUUCUUAAUAUGAAAUACUUCUUUUAAGCUUUAAUAAUUUUUGUAUUCAAACUUAAAAAACAAAUGUUUUAGUUGCCUCAACUUGUUUUUGAUUUCUUUUAAAGAAAUAUACUCACUCCAUUUUAAUUGUCAUUUCCAAAAACAAUACAUUAAAAAAAAAAUCAUAUAAGCCAUACAUGAUAGUUAUCAUCUUUCAGUCAUUUUUCAUAUUUCCUUGCUCAUUUUUAAUUCUUAAAUCUUAUAAUCCCAACAAAAGAGGUGUAUGGCCAUAUACAAAGCUUGUCCACUAAAUUUUUUUUGAGUAAUCUCUAAAGAAUCUCAAAUAGAUGCGUGUCCAGUUGGCUAUAUGAAAUAGCCUUUGACUUAUAAGUUUACAUUAAAUAACAUAUUUUCAAGGGAUUUUUUAAACUUAAAAUGGACCAGACUUGAUGGAACAAAUAAAAUGAUAUAUAUAUAUANNNNNNNNNNNNNNNNNNNNNNNNNNNNNNNNNNNNNNNNNNNNNNNNNNNNNNNNNNNNNNNNNNNNNNNNNNNNNNNNNNNNNNNNNNNNNNNNNNNNNNNNNNNNNNNNNNNNNNNNNNNNNNNNNNNNNNNNAAAGUCUUUUUCAAAUUGAUUCCUCUAUGUAAUAGAAUUUUGAGAUUCUGAUUUAUAUAUAUCAUUAUUUUCAUACGUUUCUCGAAAAAGUUACAUAAAAAGCAAAUAAACACUACACCAUAAAAAUAAAUCCGGUCAUAUUUUUGAAAAUAUUUGAUGUAAAAAACAAUCUUUAUUAUUACCGCAAGACAUUGUUAUUGGACCCUAUAUGACUUUUUUAAACAAUACAAUAAACGUUGUACAUAUUUUCAAACAAACAAAUAUUUUCUACUAUAAACAAACAGCCAUGUAUAUGAGUUUUCAUUUUUCUAUAACUCAAUGAUUUUUUUAUUCGAUAAUCAGCGUUUUACUGUUACCAAGUUGGUUAGUGGACCAAGUUUAAAGCCCAAAUAAAAAAAUGCGAUAUCACUACACACUGCUGACUGCUCAGUAUACAAGUAGAAAACCUAGCUGAAAUUCGCAGAUGACGCGUAACGUUGUUUUUUGCUCAAGCGAAUGAGGCUCCGGCGAGGGUGAUGAGGUUUCUGUCAGAGCAACUCCUCUUGCCAUUUGAUCCUCCGAUCAAGUAUUAGCCGAUGAUUUCGACGCCGAUUCACCACCAACUACUCUACCUUUGUAUCUCUCUC